Molecule: transfer RNA, 84 nt
Filed under: Candidatus Dadabacteria bacterium
Lineage: Bacteria; Pseudomonadati; Thermodesulfobacteriota; Candidatus Dadabacteria
Also listed under: 2 other names
Description: tRNA-Leu
Rfam family: tRNA
About the family: Transfer RNA (tRNA) molecules are approximately 80 nucleotides in length. Their secondary structure includes four short double-helical elements and three loops (D, anti-codon, and T loops).
Source: RNAcentral
GGGCAGGUGGCGGAACCGGCAGACGCGACGGCCUCAAAAGUCGUUGGGCUCACGCUCGUGAGGGUUCGACUCCCUCCCUGCCCA